CAUGGCUCAGGACGAACGCUGGCGGCGUGCUUAACACAUGCAAGUCGAACGGUGAAGGGACCGGCUUUUGCUGGUUCUGGAUGAGUGGCGAACGGGUGAGUAACACGUGAGUAACCUGCCCCCUUCUUCUGGAUAACCGCAUGAAAGUGUGGCUAAUACGGGAUAUUCUGGGUCUGUCGCAUGGCGGGCCUGGGAAAGAUGCGCCUUUGGGUGUUUUUGGUGGGGGAUGGGCUCGCGGCCUAUCAGCUUGUUGGUGGGGUGAUGGCCUACCAAGGCGGUGACGGGUAGCCGGCCUGAGAGGGUGGACGGUCACACUGGGACUGAGACACGGCCCAGACUCCUACGG
This 346-nucleotide ribosomal RNA is filed under the name uncultured bacterium. RNAcentral's name for it is "bacterial SSU rRNA". It matches the Rfam family "Bacterial small subunit ribosomal RNA", at positions 18 to 344 of the family's 1533-position model. The record is from RNAcentral.